RNAcentral lists this transfer RNA (70 nucleotides) under Dipodomys ordii (Ord's kangaroo rat). It matches the Rfam family "tRNA". Rfam says of the family: Transfer RNA (tRNA) molecules are approximately 80 nucleotides in length. Their secondary structure includes four short double-helical elements and three loops (D, anti-codon, and T loops). Further hydrogen bonds mediate the characteristic L-shaped molecular structure. tRNAs have two regions of fundamental functional importance: the anti-codon, which is responsible for specific mRNA codon recognition, and the 3' end, to which the tRNAs corresponding amino acid is attached (by aminoacyl-tRNA synthetases). tRNAs cope with the degeneracy of the genetic code in two manners: having more than one tRNA (with a specific anti-codon) for a particular amino acid; and 'wobble' base-pairing, i.e. permitting non-standard base-pairing at the 3rd anti-codon position. Lineage: Eukaryota; Metazoa; Chordata; Mammalia; Rodentia; Heteromyidae. The record is from Rfam by way of RNAcentral.
GGGAAUGUGCCUUAGUGGUAAAGUGCUUGCCUAGAAUGUAUGAAGCCCUAGGUUCAAUUCCUCAGUACCA